GUGCUCACUUAGGCAGCACAUAUACUAAAAUUGGAAUAAUAACAGGAAGAUGAACAUGGUACUUGCACAUGGAUGACACAUAAACUAGUCAAGAGUUCCAUAUUUUU
Molecule: small nuclear RNA, 107 nt
Organism: Saimiri boliviensis boliviensis (Bolivian squirrel monkey)
Lineage: Eukaryota; Metazoa; Chordata; Mammalia; Primates; Cebidae
Source: Ensembl